Molecule: non-coding RNA, 93 nt
Organism: Mycena latifolia
Lineage: Eukaryota; Fungi; Basidiomycota; Agaricomycetes; Agaricales; Mycenaceae
Source: the annotation of a GenBank genome assembly
GGCUCAAUGGCACAGCAGUAGCGCGCUCCGGAUUGUUCUCCCCAGUGUUUGACUAUUCCAGAGAGACCCGGAGUUCAAUCCUCCGUCGAGCUA